This 496-nucleotide ribosomal RNA is filed under the name uncultured bacterium. RNAcentral's name for it is "partial 16S ribosomal RNA". It matches the Rfam family "Bacterial small subunit ribosomal RNA", at positions 28 to 507 of the family's 1533-position model. The record is from RNAcentral.
GAUGAACGCUGGCGGCGUGCCUAAUACAUGCAAGUCGAGCGAACAGAUGAGGAGCUUGCUCCUCUGACGUUAGCGGCGGACGGGUGAGUAACACGUGGAUAACCUACCUAUAAGACUGGGAUAACUUCGGGAAACCGGAGCUAAUACCGGAUAAUAUAUUGAACCGCAUGGUUCAAUAGUGAAAGACGGUUUUGCUGUCACUUAUAGAUGGAUCCGCGCCGCAUUAGCUAGUUGGUAAGGUAACGGCUUACCAAGGCAACGAUGCGUAGCCGACCUGAGAGGGUGAUCGGCCCCAUGGGAACUGGAACACGUCCCAGAUUCCUACGGGAGGCAGCAGUAGGGAAUCUUCCGCAAGGGGCGAAAGCUGACCGAGCCAACGCGAGUGGGUUAAGGAGGUUCUCCGAACCGAAAAACUCUUUAAUAAGGAAGAAACAAUGUUUAAGUUAACAAGCCACUCUUGAAGGUAACUUAUCCGAAAGCCACGGCUAACUACGUG